UGGGGAAUUUUGCGCAAUGGGGGGAACCCUGACGCAGCGACGCCGCGUAGGUGAUGAAGCUUUUUGGAGUGUAAAACCUUGUCACCGGUGAAGAAGGUCGCGCACAUUAAUAUGGUGUGUGAAUUGACGGUAGCCGGAGAGGAAGCCCCGGCUAACUCCGUGCCAGCAGCCGCGGUAACACGGGGGGGGCGAGCGUUAUUCGGAAUUACUGGGCGUAAAGGGCGCGUAGGCGGUCCGUUAAGUGUGAAGUGAAAUGCCUGGGCUCAACCUGGGACGUGCUUUGCAUACUGGUGGACUUGAGUCCAAGAGGGGGUGGUGGAAUUCCUGGUGUAGGGGUGAAAUCCGUAGAUAUCAGGAGGAACACCGUUGGCGAAGGCGGCCACCUGGAUUGGUACUGACGCUGAGGCGCGAAAGCGUGGGGAGCGAACAGGAUUAGAUACCCUGGUAGUCCACGCCGUAAACGAUGUUCACUUGGUGUUGGUGUGAUUAACCACAUCAAUGCCGGAGCUAACGCAUUAAGUGAACCGCCUGGGGARUACGGUCGCAAGGCUG
RNAcentral lists this ribosomal RNA (552 nucleotides) under uncultured vent bacterium ML-9b. RNAcentral's name for it is "bacterial SSU rRNA". It matches the Rfam family "Bacterial small subunit ribosomal RNA", at positions 355 to 896 of the family's 1533-position model. The record is from RNAcentral.